RNAcentral lists this transfer RNA (85 nucleotides) under Felis catus (domestic cat). It matches the Rfam family "tRNA". From Rfam's summary of the family: Transfer RNA (tRNA) molecules are approximately 80 nucleotides in length. Their secondary structure includes four short double-helical elements and three loops (D, anti-codon, and T loops). The record is from Rfam by way of RNAcentral. RNAcentral also lists the same sequence under 2 other names. Lineage: Eukaryota; Metazoa; Chordata; Mammalia; Carnivora; Felidae.
GCCUGGGUGGCUCAGUUGGUUAAGUGUCCGACUUUGGCUCAGGUCAUGAUCUUGCGGUUUGUGGGUUCGAGCCCCACAUCAGGCU